UAGCAUGAUGAUACCACUCUUUACUUUUUUUCUGGUACCUCUUAUGUCAGAGGCUGGGUCUUUUCUGGCCCAGCUUCAAUGAUCUUAAUGGACUUCUGAUU
RNAcentral lists this small nucleolar RNA (101 nucleotides) under Microsporum canis CBS 113480. RNAcentral describes it as "Arthroderma otae CBS 113480 A. fumigatus snoRNA Afu_264". It matches the Rfam family "A. fumigatus snoRNA Afu_264". The record is from Rfam by way of RNAcentral. Lineage: Eukaryota; Fungi; Ascomycota; Eurotiomycetes; Onygenales; Arthrodermataceae.